Molecule: ribosomal RNA, 253 nt
Filed under: uncultured bacterium
Lineage: Bacteria
Description: partial 16S ribosomal RNA
Rfam family: Bacterial small subunit ribosomal RNA
Source: RNAcentral
UACGGGGGGGGCAAGCGUUGUUCGGAAUUACUGGGCGUAAAGGGCUCGUAGGUGGCCAACUAAGUCAGACGUGAAAUCCCCAGGCUCAACUUGGGAACUGCGUCUGAUACUGGAUGGCUUGAAUUCGGGAGAGGGAUGCAGAAUUCCGGGUGUAGCGGUGAAAUGCGUAGAUAUCGGGAGGAACACCAGUGGCGAAGGCGACUACCUGGCCUGUUCUUGACGCUGAGGCGCGAAAGCUAGGGGAGCAAACGGG